Molecule: long non-coding RNA, 274 nt
Filed under: Homo sapiens (human)
Lineage: Eukaryota; Metazoa; Chordata; Mammalia; Primates; Hominidae
Description: HSALNT0116560
Source: RNAcentral
UUUAUCUACAGUUAGCUGCACCAGCCACAGCAAGGGACAAUCCAGCAAAAGAUUAGCCACUGGGAUGAAAGACAGACAACAAACCCAACACAUAGAACCAAGGUACAGCCAUCCAAAAUUAAAAUGGGGAUUUGAUACAAUUAAACAUGGUCCACCUAGAGAGAAAGUGAGCUGCUGUACUUCAAAAGCCAUUAAGGAGGUUAAGGAGCAAGAACAGGUAAAAUCAAUGAGAAUCAAUAAAGAUCAUAGUAAAGAAAACUAGAAUUCUGAAAAC